UACCUACAUCUAUUCCUCUGUUCUACAUGUUCUAAAAUUCGUGGAAAAUUCAAUAACAACAAUUGCGACCAUUAACGGUUGCGUAACGUCAUUUGUGAUACGUUUAAAUAACUAAAUUCAAAUAUUGCCGCCCGGAACUUGAAUUGACCAGCUCAGUCAUCUACAAUCAGUGACAUUCAAUACCUACUGAGUAGCUGACAAGAAUUUGACAAACGAUACGUAUAAAGUUUACAAUUUACUAAUUAAUUCUAUAUCUAUGAUUCUGUACAAUAAAUAUUCGUUAGGUACUAUUGGACCAGUGACUAAUCGACCACAAAGAAUGUACACAAAUUACAGAAAUCGGAUCAAUUUUAAAAAAUUACUGCUACGAGCAUUCAAAUGGAUGCAUAUUUACUGGAACUACCAAUAUAAUAUAGGCAUCCUACCAUCGGCAAACGAAACGUAGCCAGAUAGUGUUCGAGUGAUAAUUCCUGAUACUGAACAAAAUUGUUUUCAAUAAGAGACGACUCGAUGAUUCAAAUACUGUACAUUCUGUUACGGUUCUGUGUGCAUCUAGAUAUACUCUUUCUCUUGUGCUUUAAAUGAUAAUCUCUUCUUUUUAUAUAAACUAUGCUAUUUUA
RNAcentral lists this long non-coding RNA (620 nucleotides) under Leptinotarsa decemlineata (Colorado potato beetle). Its description in RNAcentral is "uncharacterized LOC111511418". The record is from RNAcentral. Lineage: Eukaryota; Metazoa; Arthropoda; Insecta; Coleoptera; Chrysomelidae.